AGGGAUUGGCCCGCACUUGGCAAUGUGAAGCCAGGCCAGAGGACAAACUUUGAAAAUUAUACUGCUUGAGAGUCUGCUCAGCUAGGAAUGUACGAAGAACCCCAGAUGGAAGGGAAUAUGGAAAAGCCCUCGAGUAUCGCGACGUUUCCCAGGAAUUUGACACAGAUUGCAAACUGCAGCGCUGCCUGUGUGGCUUCAGAGCUCGGACACACGUUGUUCUCUGCUGCGAUUUCUGUGCUUGCCACAUGCCUGCCUUCAGUGAUCAUGUUUUCUCAUUUAGUUCAGUCCUCGUGGAAGAAGUUGAACACAUAUCACAUUCUUCUAAGGUAAAGUUUAUUUCAGUCUUUAAAAUCGUCUAUGUUUUUUCUCUAGGACUUAUAAUCUUGAAAAAGUAUAAAGCAC
Miniopterus natalensis is the source of this 402-nucleotide non-coding RNA. Lineage: Eukaryota; Metazoa; Chordata; Mammalia; Chiroptera; Miniopteridae. The record is from RefSeq and is a predicted model, not a curated record.